GCGGAUGUGAUGGAAUUGGUAGACAUGCAAGAUUUAGGUUCUUGUGCUUAGGCGUGUGGGUUCGAGUCCCUUCAUCCGCA
Molecule: transfer RNA, 80 nt
Filed under: Lachnospiraceae bacterium
Lineage: Bacteria; Bacillati; Bacillota; Clostridia; Lachnospirales; Lachnospiraceae
Also listed under: 1 other name
Description: tRNA-Leu
Rfam family: tRNA
About the family: Transfer RNA (tRNA) molecules are approximately 80 nucleotides in length. Their secondary structure includes four short double-helical elements and three loops (D, anti-codon, and T loops).
Source: RNAcentral